Molecule: non-coding RNA, 101 nt
Organism: Hypholoma sublateritium FD-334 SS-4
Lineage: Eukaryota; Fungi; Basidiomycota; Agaricomycetes; Agaricales; Strophariaceae
Source: the annotation of a GenBank genome assembly
UCUUUGCUAGUAUAUCAGUUAGUACACGCGCUUGUCAUACAGGCAUCUCGCGAUAUGCUCUGAAACCGCGCGAAAGCUGGGUUCAACUCCCAGGCAGAGAG